Non-coding RNA from Pantherophis guttatus, 1095 nucleotides. NCBI's taxonomy places the organism in Eukaryota, Metazoa, Chordata, Lepidosauria, Squamata, Colubridae. The record is from RefSeq and is a predicted model, not a curated record.
AGAGCCAUUGUUGAUUUGAAGCAAUGUAUCAGGGGCAGGUCUGGAAGCAACAGCUCACAUACGUUGCCAAUAAACCAGUAGACCACGGGUAUUAGAAAAGGCUGUUCGCAAUCAUUCUUCUGCCUAAUGUCAGCGGUGUAUUUCGAAGAGAUGCAGAGAAAACUUGGGUCAUCUUACAGUAACCAGUAGGGGUGAAAUCCAGCCGGUUCUAUCCAGCUCAGGCGAACCAGUAGCGGCGGCUGUGGGAGGCUCCGCCCACCCGCAUGGACAUCAUGAUGUUGCUUUCUUGUGACAUUUUAAACCUCUGCGCUUGCGCAGAUGAUGGUGUGGGCGAGCGUGCGCACAGCGCGUGCACAUUUGCAAAAAAGUAGGGAAGUGGUCUUGGAAUUGAAGAAAAAGGAAAAUGGCUAGCAAGUAAAAUUGGGGCUAGGCCUUCUUGAGAUGCUGAAAAGAUACAGUUCCAGAGUGAUUCGGGGUCAUUGAAGAGAAGACAAUGUGGAUUCUGUCCACCCAACAGAGAUUUUCAGAGGGAGAAGGGACCAGAAAGAAGAUUAUUGUUCUGCUUCUGCUAAUAUGACAAAAUGUCUAAUUAUGACUAAAUCCCUGUAAGAAUUAUUCAUGGAAACAUGAAUAAACAAGCUAAUAAUAGACUUGAAACAGGAUGAGAAAAUAUCUAGAACAAACUUUUCUUCAUAUGAAUAAUAAAGGUAAAAAAAGGAACAGCCUGAAUCUGGUCCAGAAAGUGGUGUCCAAAGAGUUGGACUUCUGAAAGGGAAAAAAAAAAUCUUAUAUACAUGAUAAAUCUCUAAUGAGAAUGGAGAGGUUAACGUGGCGGAAACCAUGACAGAAAGAUGACAACAUCACUACUGAUGUAGACCAUGAAGUCUUCAUUGAUUGGCAUUCCAGCUUUAGUCAUUAUUCAUUGUGUCAUUGUGUUUAAAUUAUUGUCCAGCUUUGUUUGAACACAUCCAAUGAACAGAGGCACACGGCUUCUCCAUAUAGUUGAUUACACUAAUAAGCAGCCCUUAUUGUUAAUGUGUUUUUCCUAGCAUUGCAGAUUCUGCUUUCCUGUAAAGUAAAAUAAUUUUCAAGGUU